UGGGGAAUAUUGCGCAAUGGGGGAAACCCUGACGCAGCGACGCCGCGUGUGGGAUGAAGGUCUUCGGAUUGUAAACCACUGUCGCGAGGGACGAGGCUCUGACGGUACCUCGAAAGGAAGCACCGGCUAACUCUGUGCCAGCAGCCGCGGUAAUACAGAGGGUGCGAGCGUUGUCCGGAAUCAUUGGGCGUAAAGGGCGCGUAGGCGGCCGAUCAAGUCGGAGGUGAAAUCCCUCGGCUCAACUGAGGAAUGGCCUUCGAUACUGUUCGGCUUGAGUCCUGGAGAGGGUAGCGGAAUUCCCGGUGUAGCGGUGAAAUGCGUAGAGACCGGGAAGAACACCAGUGGCGAAGGCGGCUACCUGGACAGGUACUGACGCUGAAGCGCGAAAGCUAGGGGAGCAAACAGGAUUAGAUACCCUGGUAGUCCCUGAGCGGGCUGGCAAGGCGCAU
This 449-nucleotide ribosomal RNA is filed under the name uncultured bacterium. RNAcentral's name for it is "bacterial SSU rRNA". It matches the Rfam family "Bacterial small subunit ribosomal RNA", at positions 355 to 825 of the family's 1533-position model. The record is from RNAcentral.